UCCAAAUUAAAGGUGCUCCGGGGUCGGCUGAUUUUACGGCAACAGUGCUACUUAUCCAAACUAAAGAUGUCACCGGUUGCCUUCACAGUGCUAUUUAUCCAAACUGAAGAUGUGUCGGUGGGAAAAAGAAACUAAAAAUCUAAGGUUGUUGAGAGGUUUCACGUAGAGUGAGAGUUUGCGCAGGGCAGUUUGUGUGUUGAAUUGUAGGCCUUUGAAUGAUGCACUCUCCUAUAUAUAUUUAGCAGCGAACCUACUCUUGGCUGAACCAGAGAUGUAUCCAGACUAAAACUCCCAAAUCUAAUCUGAUUAGGAUUCGGCCAAUCCUAGUUCCAAUAGGUUUCUGAACCAAGCUCUGUAAUGAAUCAGAUUCACUCUCGAAUUCUCAACGCCCUUAACUCUGAAAACCCCAUUAUUGUACCAAGACUUGACUUCUUCACUCUUAUCCAAAUCAAUCCUUCUUGCAACAGAACUCGGCCGACUUGAUUGGUGACUUAUGACAGUUUGGACGACCCAUAGUAUUUUCAGAAGAGCAUUGGACCAAACACAAACCUAAGCUCGGCCUAAUAAUGUUAUUUUGGGCCCAAACACAUAUAUAUAAACAACAGAGUUGGCGUGGUGGUGAAGUGAUGGCGUAAGAGCAUACGUAUAUCAACUACCAAAAGGAAACUCGAAACUUCUUCGUCAAGAUACAAUAUUCUAGCAAAAUGUAUGCAGUGGCUGGUAACAAUACUCGUACUGUAGAUGCAAAUUUCUUCCUCCUUGAUCUUGGUAAAAAUAGCACCUACAAAACAAAUAACACCUUAGGUCAAGGCCAAGAACCUCACAUGUUGGAAAUGUGCCCUAAAACCAAUCAUAUG
This 857-nucleotide long non-coding RNA is filed under the name Malus domestica (apple). RNAcentral describes it as "long non-coding RNA (MDOM_LNC013549)". Lineage: Eukaryota; Viridiplantae; Streptophyta; Magnoliopsida; Rosales; Rosaceae. The record is from RNAcentral.